RNAcentral lists this long non-coding RNA (1061 nucleotides) under Olea europaea subsp. europaea. Lineage: Eukaryota; Viridiplantae; Streptophyta; Magnoliopsida; Lamiales; Oleaceae. The record is from RNAcentral.
AAAUGUCAAGAAUAAACCAAAGCUGCAGUUGCCGAAGAUGAAAUUUAAGAAGUUCUAAUUUCACUUUGGCAUAAUCUUCUUUUUAUGAGCCAAAGCCACGUAAAUCUCACCAAUUUCUUGUCCCACUACUAGGAAAACCUAACAUUCGUGCAUCUAGUCGCUCCUGCAAGCUGUUCUAUGGCGAAGUAUCUGAAAAGACAUUUUAUGGAGGUAUGCAUAGGAAUUUCGACUAAUUUUUCAUCAUGUUAAUUUGAUAUUAGAAUUUCCCUUAAUAAAAAAUAUCUAUGGCAUAAAGCAUUUAAUGCCAAUAUAUUGAAAUAUAUUGCAGCCAAACUCGAAAAUUAAAUAAAUCAAGUUUGGCAUGCAAGUAUUGAAUGCUUUGGCCAACACUUUACACUUCCAUCCUUAGUCCAAAACAGUUCCUAGUUUUCCAAGAAGAAUACAUUUUGCUUUCAUUAUUUGCGUCCUCCGGCCACAUAACUCUUUCUCUCCCCUCAAAUACCAGAAUGCGAAGCUUUCCAUACCCAAAGAUUCCCAUGCCUUUCUUGGUUGGACCAAACCAAAAUGCCGCAUAAGAUCAUCUUCAAUCAACUUGAUUUCCUUUCUCAUUCGCUUGUCUGUGCGUUGUUCAAGACAAAUUUUAUCUCUUUCUAAUAGUUUAAACUUAUAAUAUGAAUUAAAUAUUGAAUAAAACGACACAAAGUUUGGGUUGAAAUCUCGCUGGCAGUCACUUUUUAAAAUUGUGAAUGUCUUUUAUUAAAUAAUAGAUAGACCAUGUAAGCAAUGGCGUAUUGUAGAUAAAAAUAAAGAACUUGUCCAUGUGAUGAGCUAGCAAUGGAACUUUACAAGAACGCUGUUUGAAUCUGUGGACAAAUUUGGUGUUCUUCUUUUGUUCUCCCCUCCCCUUUGAACUUAUGGUUUCUAUCGUUUUCCUUUCUAUCAUUUUAGGAACACAAAAUUGAUAAAUUUCGUCCUCGUUCAUAGUUAAACAUUUCACAGUGUUGGGAUUGACUCAAAUGAAUAUUGAUACAAAGUUUAGGGACCAAUGAUUUAAAUAGUCA